AUGUCAAUUGUGCCUGCCGAAUGGACCGAUGAGAACACUCGAAUUAUCGUCGAGUUGUUUGUGAAAAAAGUGAGGGCUAGAAAUAUGCCAAACACUCAUUUGACACCCAAUGCAUAUGAUGAGGUGGCAAAGGAGUUCUUGAUGAGAACUGGACUUGAUUACACGCAAAAGCAAGUGAGAAACAAAUGGGACAAGUUAAAAUGUGAGUACAACACAUUCAAGAAGCUCAAGUUGCAUGAGACUGGAGGGGGUGGGACUUUGAGAAAAACACGGUGA
Molecule: ribosomal RNA, 276 nt
Filed under: Triticum aestivum (bread wheat)
Lineage: Eukaryota; Viridiplantae; Streptophyta; Magnoliopsida; Poales; Poaceae
Description: partial small subunit ribosomal RNA
Source: RNAcentral